UACGGAGGGGGCUAGCGUUGUUCGGAAUUACUGGGCGUAAAGCGCACGUAGGCGGAUAUUUAAGUCAGGGGUGAAAUCCCGGGGCUCAACCCCGGAACUGCCUUUGAUACUGGGUAUCUGGAGGUCGAGAGAGGCGAGUGGAAUUCCGAGUGUAGAGGUGAAAUUCGUAGAUAUUCGGAGGAACACCAGUGGCGAAGGCGGCUCACUGGCCCGGUACUGACGCUCAGGUGCGAAAGCGUGGGGAGCAAACAGG
RNAcentral lists this ribosomal RNA (253 nucleotides) under uncultured bacterium. Its description in RNAcentral is "partial 16S ribosomal RNA". It matches the Rfam family "Bacterial small subunit ribosomal RNA", at positions 524 to 776 of the family's 1533-position model. The record is from RNAcentral.